RNAcentral lists this ribosomal RNA (460 nucleotides) under uncultured bacterium. RNAcentral's name for it is "partial 16S ribosomal RNA". It matches the Rfam family "Bacterial small subunit ribosomal RNA", at positions 338 to 795 of the family's 1533-position model. The record is from RNAcentral.
CCUACGGGUGGCAGCAGUGAGGAAUAUUGGUCAAUGGACGCAAUUCUGAACCAGCCAUGCCGCGUGCAGGAAGACGGCCCUAUGAGUUGUAAACCUCUUUUGUAGGAGGGCAAACCCCGAUACGUGUACCUGUCUGCAUGUAUCCUACGAAUAAGCAUCGGCUAACUCCGUGCCAGCAGCCGCGGUAAUACGGAGGAUUCAAGCGUUAUCCGGAUUUAUUGGGUUUAAAGGGUGCGUAGGCGGUCGGUUAAGUUAGCGGUGAAAUCCCGAGGCUCAACUCCGGACUUGCCUCUGAUACUGUUAGACUAGAGUGUAGUUGCAGUAGGCGGAAUGUGUGGUGUAGCGGUGAAAUGCUUAGAGAUCGUACAGAACACCGAUUGCGAAGGCAGCGUACCGGGGUAAGUCUGACGUUGAGGCACGAAAGCGUGGGGAGCGAACAGGAUUAGAUACCCUGGUAGUC